This 172-nucleotide ribosomal RNA is filed under the name Critoniopsis sodiroi. RNAcentral describes it as "5.8S ribosomal RNA". It matches the Rfam family "5.8S ribosomal RNA". Rfam says of the family: 5.8S ribosomal RNA (5.8S rRNA) is a component of the large subunit of the eukaryotic ribosome. It is transcribed by RNA polymerase I as part of the 45S precursor that also contains 18S and 28S rRNA. Lineage: Eukaryota; Viridiplantae; Streptophyta; Magnoliopsida; Asterales; Asteraceae. The record is from RNAcentral.
CAAAAUCACAAACGACUCUCGGCAACGGAUAUCUCGGCUCACGCAUCGAUGAAGAACGUAGCAAAAUGCGAUACUUGGUGUGAAUUGCAGAAUCCCGUGAACCAUCGAGUUUUUGAACGCAAGUUGCGCCCGAAGCCAUUCGGUCGAGGGCACGUCUGCCUGGGCGUCACGC